AUGUUCCAUAGAUCCGAACGUCAGAUGCCGCCGCCGGCGGCGGUGGCCGACUGGUCGGGCCUCCACCAAGACAUCCUCAGCCGCAUCUUCCUCUCGAUCGCAUGCAUCGGCGACCGGGUCAGGUUCUCCGCCGUCAACCAGCACUGGCGUGGCGUCGCGCUGCAAAACCCGCCCCCGCUCCCCUGGCUCCUCAUGCCCUCCACUGCCGGGACCUCCUGCUACCGGAUCUUCGGCGGGAUCGCCGACCCGCAGCCGCCCCUCGCCGGCGCCGUCCGCGGGGCGCGUUUCUGCGGCUCCUCUCAUGGCGGCUGGUCCGUGGUCGUGCUCCACCAGUGGCACGGCCACGCCCUGCUCAACCUCCGCUCCGGCGAGCGCGUCCUCCUCCCGGACCACGUGCGCGUCACCCUGAACGGCGGGCGCGUCCCGCCGAACUUCAACGUCAUCAGGUGCCCCAUAAUGAUCCGCGCGGCCGCCGUGUCCGCGCCGCCGCCGUCGGCUGCAUGCGUCGUCGCUGCCCUGACGACAGGCCAGACCACCAUGGCGUUCUGGCGCCCGGGCAUGGACUGCUGGUCGCCGGCGCCGCUGGGGGCUCCGUGUGACGCCCAGGACCUGACGUACCACGACGGAUGCUUCUGGGCCGUCAACCCCUGUGAGCAGCUCUUCUGCUACAGGCCGGAGAUUGCCGGCGCAGACGGUGCGCUUACUGUUCAACAUCUUGUCUACCAGUGCUGUGCUGACCAGAUGACCCCCGCGGCGCCAGGGGAGAUCGUCUCCCGCUACCUCCUGCCUGCCGCCUCCGGUGAAGAUUUGCUAAUGGUGAAGAGGUUCGUCGAUCCGGCGAGAGGCGGCACUAGGCGGUUCGAGGUCUUCAGGCUAGAGAAGCAACUUGGCAGAACCUCCUGGCGCUUCCACAAGAUGGAGGGGCAGGUGCUCUUUGUCGGCCGGAGCUGCUCCAAGGCCUUCGACACAGGGCGCAGCGGCAAUCCGGGCUACAUCUACUUCCUCGACGAUGUCUAUGGUGGCCGUCCGAUGAGCGUUCUCCAGCAGAACGAAUAUCCCUGCACCGACAUGGGUGGUUGGAGUUGCUCCCCUGACGACGAGGAAAUCAAGCGCUGCCUGCCAUGGGCGCAUCCCUCGGACAGCUCACCGUCCAUUUGGUACCUCCAUUGA
This 1170-nucleotide ribosomal RNA is filed under the name Triticum aestivum (bread wheat). RNAcentral describes it as "partial small subunit ribosomal RNA". The record is from RNAcentral. Lineage: Eukaryota; Viridiplantae; Streptophyta; Magnoliopsida; Poales; Poaceae.